AUGGAAAGUGCUGGUACUGUCCCUAGAGUAUUACAAAACAAUGUUGAUUUUUUCUUUAUUUACUUUCCAGGUACUCUUGUUUCAUUUGAAAUUGGUGAGUUGCAGAGAACAGGAAACACUACAGGUGCAAACCAACAGGAUUUCAAGUGCUUUCUCUCACUGCCUGUCCCAGUCCUGAGCCCUGGAGUGACUGUGCAGUCAGGGAUGGAAGAGGAGGAGGAUGCAGAGGAGCAGGACUACAUGCACACGGUGUCAAUCACAAAUGGGCACUUCCCAUGCUGACUGCUUUUCAUGUCCAUGUGGCCAGCCAAGCCUCCAGUCUUCAUCACUGGCUCAUUAAUACCAGAGAGGAGAGCUGAAGUGGUGGACUCAAGUUUUAAGUGAAAUGCUGACUUUUAUGAAAGGAUACAAAUAAUUUUAAACCCUUUCUGGAGUUCAAGAAUAGGCCAAGCUAUUUGUACAGACACAGCUGAUGUGUUUUAUUUUUUUUUUUUUUCCUAUGUGAAGGUUAAUAUGAAGACAUCUGUUAGCUGGACCCAAAAUUUCACUCACACAGCCUGUCUGAAAUCAAAAGAAGGGGUGUAGGAAAAAGACAAGCUGGCAAAAGGGGAACUAACUAGCUACCAUGAAGUAAUACGAGAUGGGUUUGUUGCAAGACUCGUUUUCACAACUUCAGGCUGUAGUAAUCCUUCUUUAAAAAAAAUAAGAACUGAUUUGCUGGAUUACUGGCUGGUAGAGGUUGUUGGUUUCUGCUUCAGUAAUUGCAGACUAUGUCUUGACUGCCAUUUCAUAAGGAAAAAAAAAAGACAUUUUCAGAUGCUGUGAAAUAUCAAUAUGGAAUAUAUCAAGAAAUUUCUGCAAAAUCUCAGGGUUGCAUCAUGAUACUAUAAUGGAAAUCAGUGCAGCUGAGCUUUACUGACCAGUGUAAAAAUUUUCCUGUUAUAAAUUCACAGCUACAAGAUGUUUGUGUAACUACUUUUCUGCAGCACAGUCAUCAUAAUAUUUCAUCUACAACAUGAAAUGAUGAAGAGUCCAACAGUCUGUAAACAUGGAGAAUGAUGUUCAUCUGUAGCUACUGUUAGCAUUGGAUUAUUUCUUCCUGCAAGUCAUUUACUCAUUAGGAAGUGUGCUUUUGAACAACCGCAAGCAUUUGUAGUCACAGAUCAAAUUCAGAGAACAGUUGAUAAUGGAAAUUAUUACUUAAUAUGCAAUUGCUAUAUAUUAUUAAAAGUUAUUAAUAACUGUUUUUGUAUUUAAGGUAAAAGGAAAAAAUGAGGGUGUGCUGUAGCUUCUGGCCUGAGACUCCAGUGCUCUAAUCCAGAUAAUGCUAAACAGAGUGCUUAUUCCUUUGCUGGAAAAAUAUCUGUAAAAGGAUUUUGUCAUACAAAUUAACAACAUUAACAAAUUAGCAGCAUUUUUAUUAUAUUCGCAUUACAACAGCUCCAGUCAGAACAGGAUCAUCUUAUCAUGCUAACUGUACAAACAAAUAUUUCUGACCUGUAGAGCUUACAGUCUAAAUUCAGACACAAUAAACAAAUAAAAUAAAUGGAGAGACUGGAGAAG
Molecule: long non-coding RNA, 1563 nt
Organism: Anser cygnoides (Swan goose)
Lineage: Eukaryota; Metazoa; Chordata; Aves; Anseriformes; Anatidae
Source: Ensembl